AGGACGAACGCUGGCGGCGUGCUUAACACAUGCAAGUCGAACGCUUCCGGGGCUUCGGUCGCGGAGGAGUGGCGCACGGGUGAGUAGCGCGUGGGAACCUGCCCUGUUGUGGGGGAUAACCGAGGGAAACUUCGGCUAAUACCGCAUACGCCCCGGGACUUGGUCUUCGGAUUAGGUCUGGGGGGAAAGAUUGAUCGCAGCAGGAGGGGCCCGCGUCGGAUUAGCUGGUUGGUGGGGUAACGGCUCACCAAGGCGAUGAUCCGUAGCUGGUCUGAGAGGAUGAUCAGCCACACUGGGACUGAGACACGGCCCAGACUCCUACGGGAGGCAGCAGUGGGGAAUAUUGGACAAUGGGGGCAACCCUGAUCCAGCAAUGCCGCGUGAGUGAUGAAGGCCUUAGGGUUGUAAAGCUCUUUCGCCCGCGACGAUGAUGACGGUAGCGGGAGAAGAAGCCCGGCUAACUCGUGCCAGCAGCCGCGGUAA
This 483-nucleotide ribosomal RNA is filed under the name uncultured bacterium. Its description in RNAcentral is "SSU rRNA". It matches the Rfam family "Bacterial small subunit ribosomal RNA", at positions 26 to 523 of the family's 1533-position model. The record is from RNAcentral.